GACGAACGCUGGCGGCGUGCUUAACACAUGCAAGUCGAACGGAAAGGCCUCUUUCGGGGGGUACUCGAGUGGCGAACGGGUGAGUAACACGUGAGUAACCUGCCCUUGACUUUGGGAUAACUUCAGGAAACUGGGGCUAAUACCGGAUAGGAGCUCCUGCUGCAUGGUGGGGGUUGGAGAGUUUCGGCGGUUGGGGAUGGACUCGCGGCUUAUCAGCUUGUUGGUGGGGUAGUGGCUUACCAAGGGUUUGACGGGUAGGCGGGCUGAGAGGGUGACCGGCCACAUUGGGACUGAGAUACGGCCCAGACUCCUACGGGGGGCAGCAGUGGGGAAGAAUGCACAAUGGGUGGAAGCCUGAUGCAGCAACGCCGGGUGCGGGAUGACGGCCUUCGGGUUGGAAACCGCUUUCGCUCAUGACGAAGCUUUGUGUGACGGUAGUGGGUAAAGAAGCACCGGCUAACUACGUG
Molecule: ribosomal RNA, 467 nt
Filed under: uncultured bacterium
Lineage: Bacteria
Description: partial 16S ribosomal RNA
Rfam family: Bacterial small subunit ribosomal RNA
Source: RNAcentral